AGCCGGAAUGAGUGGAAAUUGAAGGCUUGCGAACCCCGCCAGGGCCGAAAGGCAGCAACGGUACCAUGACCUUGUUUGCCACUCAUUCCGGUUUUU
Molecule: signal recognition particle RNA, 96 nt
Filed under: Verrucomicrobiales bacterium
Lineage: Bacteria; Pseudomonadati; Verrucomicrobiota; Verrucomicrobiia; Verrucomicrobiales
Description: signal recognition particle sRNA small type
Rfam family: Bacterial small signal recognition particle RNA
About the family: The signal recognition particle (SRP) is a universally conserved ribonucleoprotein involved in the co-translational targeting of proteins to membranes. Archaeal SRP consists of a 7S RNA and homologues of the eukaryotic SRP19 and SRP54 proteins. In most bacteria, the SRP consists of a 4.5S RNA and the Ffh protein (a homologue of the eukaryotic SRP54 protein).
Source: RNAcentral